Gasterosteus aculeatus aculeatus (three-spined stickleback) is the source of this 1218-nucleotide long non-coding RNA. The record is from Ensembl. Lineage: Eukaryota; Metazoa; Chordata; Actinopteri; Perciformes; Gasterosteidae.
GUUGCCGUUGCCCGUGUAGCCGUCAGCCAAAGUUCCAUUGCUGCCGUCGUCGCCCAGGGUGCCGUUGCCAGUGUAGACGUCAGCCAAAGUUCCAUUGCUGCCGUCGUCGCCCAGGGUGCCGUUGCCUGUGUAGCCGCCAGGCAAAGUCACGUUGCAGUCGUCGCCCAGGGUGCCGUUGCCAUCUGCCAAAGUUCCGUUGCCCGUCUCGACGUCGGCCAGGGUGCCGUUGCCAGUGUAGACGUCAGCAAAAGUCACGUUGCCGUCGUCGCCCAGGGUGCCGUUGCCAUCUGCCAAAGUUCCGUUGCCCGUGUCGACGUCGGCCAGGGUGCCGUUGCCCGUGUAGCCGUCAGCCAAAGUUCCAUUGCUGCCGUCGUCGCCCAGGGUGCCGUUGCCCGUGUAGCCGUCAGCCAAAGUUCCGUUGCCCGUGUAGUCAGCUAGGGUCACGUUGCCGUCGUCGCUCAGGGUGCCGUUGCCUGCGUCGGCAUCUGCCAAAGUUCCAUUGCUGCCGUCGUCGCCCAGGGUGCCGUUGCCCGCGUAGACGUCAGCCAAAGUCUCGUUGCCGUCGGUCACGUUGCCGUCGUCGCUCAGGGUGCCGUUGCCUGCGUCGGCAUCUGCCAAAGUUCCAUUGCUGCCGUCGUCGCCCAGGGUGCCGUUGCCCGCGUAGACGCCAGCCAAAGUACCAUUGCUGCCAUCGUCGCCCAGGGUGCCGUUGCGGGUGUAGACGUCGGACAGGGUGUCGUUGCCAUCUGCCAAAGUUCCGUUGCCCGUGUCGACGUCGGCCAGGGUGCCGUUGCCAGUGUAGACGUCAGCCAAAGUCACGUUGCAGUCGUCGCCCAGGGUGCCGUUGCCCGUGUAGCCGUCAGCCAAAGUUCCAUUGCUGCCGUCGUCGCCCAGGGUGCCGUUGCCCGUGUAGCCGUCAGCCAAAGUUCCGUUGCCCGUGUAGUCAGCUAGGGUCACGUUGCCGUCGUCGCUCAGGGUGCCGUUGCCUGCGUCGGCAUCUGCCAAAGUUCCAUUGCUGCCGUCGUCGCCCAGGGUGCCGUUGCCCGCGUAGACGUCAGCCAAAGUCUCGUUGCCGUCGUCGCCCAGGGUGCCGUUGCCCGCGUAGACGUCAGCCAAAGUACCAUUGCUGCCAUCGUCGCCCAGGGUGCCGUUGCGGGUGUAGACGUCGGACAGGGUGCCGUUGCGGGUGUAGACGUCGGACAGGGUGUCGUUGCCAUC